GUGCUUGCUUUGGCAGCACAUGUACUAAAAUUGGAGUGAUACAGAGAAGAUUGGCAUGGUCCCUGUGCAAGGAUGACACACAAGUUUGUGAAUUGUUCCACAUUUAA
Small nuclear RNA from Cavia porcellus (domestic guinea pig), 107 nucleotides. The record is from Ensembl. Lineage: Eukaryota; Metazoa; Chordata; Mammalia; Rodentia; Caviidae.